CACGUAGGCACCAAGCGUUAUCCGGAUUUAUUGGGCGUAAAGAGCUCGUAGGCGGUUCGGUAAGUCGGGUGUGAAACUCUGGGCUCAACCCAGAGAGGCCACCCGAUACUGCUGUGACUAGAGUGCGGAUAGGGGAGCGGGGAAUUCCGUGGUGUAGCGGUGAAAUGCGCAGAUAUCAGGAGGAACACCGGUGGCGAAGGCGGGGUCUCUGGGCAGUUAACUGACGCUGAGGAGCGAAAGCGUGGGGAGCGAACAGGG
This 258-nucleotide ribosomal RNA is filed under the name uncultured bacterium. RNAcentral's name for it is "partial 16S ribosomal RNA". It matches the Rfam family "Bacterial small subunit ribosomal RNA", at positions 524 to 777 of the family's 1533-position model. The record is from RNAcentral.